AACGAACGCUGGCGGCAUGCCUAACACAUGCAAGUCGAACGAGACCUUCGGGUCUAGUGGCGCACGGGUGCGUAACGCGUGGGAACCUGCCCUUAGGUUCGGAAUAACUCCCCGAAAGGGGUGCUAAUACCGGAUAAUGUCUUCGGACCAAAGAUUUAUCGCCUUUGGAUGGGCCCGCGUUGGAUUAGCUAGUUGGUAGGGUAAAAGCCUACCAAGGCGACGAUCCAUAGCUGGUCUGAGAGGAUGAUCAGCCACACUGGGACUGAGACACGGCCCAGACCCCUACGGGGGGCAGCAGGGGGGAAUAUUGGACAAUGGGCGAAAGCCUGACCCAGCAAUGCCGGGUGAGUGAUGAAGGCCUUGGGGUUGUAAAGCUCUUUUCCCCGGGAUGAUAAUGACAGUACCGGGAGAAUAAGCCCCGGCUAACCCCGU
RNAcentral lists this ribosomal RNA (432 nucleotides) under uncultured bacterium. Its description in RNAcentral is "partial 16S ribosomal RNA". It matches the Rfam family "Bacterial small subunit ribosomal RNA", at positions 29 to 506 of the family's 1533-position model. The record is from RNAcentral.